RNAcentral lists this non-coding RNA (50 nucleotides) under Desulfovibrio sp. 86. RNAcentral describes it as "mini-ykkC". It matches the Rfam family "Guanidine-II riboswitch aptamer (mini-ykkC)". Rfam says of the family: Simpler in structure and has fewer highly conserved nucleotide positions than the ykkC-yxkD leader. Despite this each of its two stem-loop structures directly bind free guanidine. The record is from RNAcentral. Lineage: Bacteria; Pseudomonadati; Thermodesulfobacteriota; Desulfovibrionia; Desulfovibrionales; Desulfovibrionaceae.
GCGUGAGGACGACCUCCCCCAUAAAGGGUAUGUACUCCGGGACGACCCGG